This 296-nucleotide ribosomal RNA is filed under the name Ehrlichia canis. RNAcentral describes it as "partial 16S ribosomal RNA". It matches the Rfam family "Bacterial small subunit ribosomal RNA", at positions 100 to 413 of the family's 1533-position model. The record is from RNAcentral. Lineage: Bacteria; Pseudomonadati; Pseudomonadota; Alphaproteobacteria; Rickettsiales; Anaplasmataceae.
AGACGGGUGAGUAAUGCGUAGGAAUCUACCUAGUAGUACGGAAUAGCCAUUAGAAAUGGUGGGUAAUACUGUAUAAUCCCCUAGGGGGAAAGAUUUAUCGCUAUUAGAUGAGCCUACGUUAGAUUAGCUAGUUGGUGAGGUAAUGGCUUACCAAGGCUAUGAUCUAUAGCUGGUCUGAGAGGACGAUCAGCCACACUGGAACUGAGAUACGGUCCAGACUCCUACGGGAGGCAGCAGUGGGGAAUAUUGGACAAUGGGCGAAAGCCUGAUCCAGCUAUGCCGCGUGAGUGAAGAAG